ACGCUGUGAUGAAUAUUUUUGUGCCAAAGACGAGGCUUUUCGGAGUCAAAUCGGUGACGGCAACACAAACCUCUAAGAAGUUCUGAGCGU
Molecule: small nucleolar RNA, 90 nt
Organism: Telopea speciosissima
Lineage: Eukaryota; Viridiplantae; Streptophyta; Magnoliopsida; Proteales; Proteaceae
Product: small nucleolar RNA U61
Exons: 1
Source: RefSeq, a predicted model, not a curated record